Molecule: transfer RNA, 92 nt
Filed under: Robiginitomaculum sp.
Lineage: Bacteria; Pseudomonadati; Pseudomonadota; Alphaproteobacteria; Maricaulales; Robiginitomaculaceae
Description: tRNA-Leu
Rfam family: tRNA
About the family: Transfer RNA (tRNA) molecules are approximately 80 nucleotides in length. Their secondary structure includes four short double-helical elements and three loops (D, anti-codon, and T loops).
Source: RNAcentral
GCGGGUGUGGCACAGAGGCGAACCGCGUCGGGUUUAAAUUCCGAUAUAGAUUAACGAUCACAUCAUGGGUUCGAUUCCCAUCAUCCGUACAA